RNAcentral lists this long non-coding RNA (209 nucleotides) under Homo sapiens (human). RNAcentral describes it as "non-protein coding lnc-PPP2R5E-3:1". The record is from RNAcentral. Lineage: Eukaryota; Metazoa; Chordata; Mammalia; Primates; Hominidae.
CCAAGUAGGUACUUAAACGUAUGGAAUGUUAUGUAUGAGGGAAUGAUUAAAUACAAUAAUGAAAGUUUGGUUAGGAAACUUCUAUAUGACGUGUAUGAAAGGCUUAUGGAAAUGUACUGAUCAUCAUGAGAUGAUGAAUUCUCUUGAAGUUGAGCGUUUGCGACAGUUUGCCAAUGAAGGCAGUGACUUUUAGCUAAUUAUAACUUGUU